Molecule: ribosomal RNA, 1334 nt
Filed under: uncultured bacterium
Lineage: Bacteria
Description: 16S ribosomal RNA
Rfam family: Bacterial small subunit ribosomal RNA
Source: RNAcentral
GGCGUGCCUAACACAUGCAAGUCGAGCGAUUCUAUGGGAGUACUUGUACUCACAAAGAAAUAGCGGCGGACGGGUGAGUAACGCGUGGGCAACCUACCCUAAACAAUGGGAUAGCCCUUCGAAAGGAGGAGUAAUACCAUAUAACACAUUUUUAAGGCAUCUUAAAAAUGUCAAAGAUUUAUCGGUUUAGGAUGGGCCCGCGUCUGAUUAGCUAGUUGGUAAGGUAAAGCUUACCAAGGCGACGAUCAGUAGCCGACCUGAGAGGGUGAUCGGCCACACUGGAACUGAGACACGGUCCAGACUCCUACGGGAGGCAGCAGUGGGGAAUAUUGCACAAUGGGGGAAACCCUGAUGCAGCAACGCCGCGUGAGCGACGAAGGCCUUCGGGUCGUAAAGCUCUGUCCUAAGUGAAGAUAAUGACGGUAACUUAGGAGGAAGCCCCGGCUAACUACGUGCCAGCAGCCGCGGUAAUACGUAGGGGGCAAGCGUUAUCCGGAAUCAUUGGGCGUAAAGGGUGAGUAGGCGGCAAUACAAGUCAGAGGUGAAAGGCUACGGCUUAACCGUAGUAAGCCUUUGAAACUGUAUAGCUUGAGUAUGGGAGAGGAGAGUGGAAUUCCUAGCGUAGCGGUGAAAUGCGUAGAUAUUAGGAGGAACACCAGUGGCGAAGGCGACUCUCUGGACCAUAACUGACGCUGAGUCACGAAAGCGUGGGGAGCAAACAGGAUUAGAUACCCUGGUAGUCCACGCCGUAAACGAUGAGUGCUAGGUGUUGGGGGUCAAACCUCAGUGCCGCAGCUAACGCAUUAAGCACUCCGCCUGGGGAGUACGAUCGCAAGGUUGAAACUCAAAGGAAUUGACGGGGACCCGCACAAGCAGCGGAGCAUGUGGUUUAAUUCGAAGCAACGCGAAGAACCUUACCUGGACUUGACAUCCUAUUGAAAGCACCUUAGCCGGUGCCGUCCUUCGGGACAAUAGAGACAGGUGGUGCAUGGUUGUCGUCAGCUCGUGUCGUGAGAUGUUGGGUUAAGUCCCGCAACGAGCGCAACCCUUGCCUUUAGUUACUAACAGAAAAAACUGAGGACUCUAGAGGGACUGCCGGGGAUAACUCGGAGGAAGGUGGGGAUGACGUCAAAUCAUCAUGCCCCUUAUGUUCAGGGCUACACACGUGCUACAAUGGUCGAUACAAAGGGAAGCAACAGAGCAAUCUCAAGCAAAUCCCAUAAAGUCGAUCCCAGUUCGGAUUGCGGGCUGAAACUCGCCCGCAUGAAGUUGGAGUUGCUAGUAAUCGCGAAUCAGAAUGUCGCGGUGAUGCGUUCCCGGUCUUGUACUCACCG